This is an RNA transcript of Medicago truncatula (barrel medic), 2138 nucleotides long. It is a transcript of the gene named transcription termination factor MTERF5, chloroplastic, with no coding region annotated. NCBI's taxonomy places the organism in Eukaryota, Viridiplantae, Streptophyta, Magnoliopsida, Fabales, Fabaceae. The record is from RefSeq and is a predicted model, not a curated record. The transcript is spliced from 3 exons.
AAUUCAACAUAAGAGAUUACACUCACAUAUAAAUACUUACUUAUUUGUGUUCGAGAUCAAAUUCCGAACACCCUGUUUAUUGUCUCAAGCGGAAUUCUACCCGGACUGGACAAACAAAAAGAAUUUGGUUUGAAGAGCGAACACCCAACACCCCAGCCCCGGGUAGAACAGACUCGUACCAAGCAUUGACCUUCUUGGUAUUCCCCUCAUCCUGGUUUCUCCUUCUGUUUUUGAUUCGAAACCCAGAAUCUAUGUUUGUUCUAUUCUAAUAUCUAUGUCUUCUUUUUCCUGCUUCCAAACCUAAAAUAAAAUCCUUUCUUUUCAUGUCUUAUUCUUGCUAUUCAUGCACGCAACAUGUUUGUUAAAUUGAAAAGCCUAGUCCUACUACACAAACCUUAUGCAAUGCUAUCCCUCAAGUUGUUACGCUCUCUUCCUUUAAAUUCUAACUCACUUCAUUCUUUUCUGUGUUCAUUUUCUUCUUUAUCAACCCCAAUUAACCAAUCUUCAAACGAAGAAACCACUUUUCUUUUUAACCUCCUUAAUUCCAAUUCCAAAUUACAUAAAUCUGAAUCCAUCUAUGUAUCUAAACUUGUUUUAGGAAUCACUUCCCCUGAAAAGCCCUUAUCUGUAAUCAACUUUUUCAAACAAAUUGGAUUUUCUCAAACUCAGAUUCACUCCAUCAUUCAUCAGAGAACUCAAGUACUCUUUUCAAAGGUUGAUAAAACUCUUAAACCUAAAGUUGAACUCUUUCAACAAUUGGGUUUUCAGGGUUCUCAAUUAGGUCAUUUUCUUUCUAAGAAUCCAAACAUUUUGAUUGCUAGUUUGAACAAAACAUUGGUCCCCUCUGUGGAAGUUAUUAAGAAAUUUGUACGGAAUGAGAAGGAUCUUAAUCGUGUUUUGUACAAAUGUGGCUGGAUACUCCCGCAGUACCGAUUAUUUGUUGCCAACAUUGCUUUCUUAGAGAGUUGUGGCAUUGUUGGGAAUCAGGUUUUGAUUAUACUCAAAUGUUACUCAAGGAUUUUGAUUGAACCACAAUCUCGUAUUAGAAACUAUAUUUCCCAAGCUGAAGACCUGGGUUUCCCUCAAAAUUCAAGAAUGUUGGUUCAUGCACUUCAUACGUUAUAUUGUUUGAGCCAUAAAACAUUUGAAAAAAAGCUUGAUUUUAUUCAGCAUUUUGGGUUUUCUAAAGAUCAGAGCUUGCGAAUGUUCAAACAUGUUCCAGCUUUGCUUAGGUCAUCGGAGAAGAAAUUAAAGGUUGGAAUUGAGUUCUUCUUACAUACAGUUAUGCUGCCAAAGUCAACAUUGGUUAGUCAGCCUGCGAUUUUGAUGUAUAGCAUGGAGGAUCGAGUGUUUCCUCGCUUUAGAGUUUAUCAGCUUUUAAAAUCACAAAAUCUAUGUCAGAAGCUUCCAAGCUUUGUUACUGUGUUAUCUUUUUCUGAGGACAUGUUCUUGGACAGGUUUAUAUCAAGGUGUAAAGAAAAAGCAGAGGCGUUAGUGAUAGCUUACAAGGGGCAUUGUCUAGAAAUACUUUGCUCCACUUGUAGACAAUCUGUUUCUAAGAGCACUUGUCAGUUGUUUAGAGUUUAAAGUCAUUAACAUGCCUGCUGCCUUGGCGUUCUUUGGUUAUGUUUUGCCUAUUGGUGUACUGUGAAUGCUUGGACGAAAUCUCCUUUAUCAUCCCAACACCAAUUCCAUAAUAGUUCUGGUUGACAGACAGUGCAGCGUCUAUUUUGCAUUUUACAAAACCUGGUUUUGGUUUUGGCAUCUACAAUUUUCCUCCUGCCGCGUGCUUUACAAACUCUAUGGACACUGCCCACCGCUUUGAUUCAAAAGCCCGUCAUAAUUGCGCUAUAGAACGAAAGGAAGGAUAUUGAGGGCUGUAGUUGGACAGUGUCGAAAACUUUCAUUAGCAGAUUUUACCCAACUGAUGUAUGUUGAUUUUUAAGUGGUUUCAUUAUUGCCUUCUGUACAAUUUUUGUUUAUUUUUGUGUAACAGUUCUUUUAGAUGUAAGAUGGAGUUUAUAAGAGAAGCAAUUCUACUUGUGUAUAUCAGAAUUUCAAAAUGACUCGUGUAUGGAACUGUUACUCCCUAGUUUUUGCACGAGCUUCAAGAAGCAUAAUGAUCUCUUGAUGCUCUA